UACGAAGGGGGCUAGCGUUGCUCGGAAUUACUGGGCGUAAAGCGCACGUAGGCGGCUUUCUAAGUCAGGGGUGAAAUCCUGGAGCUCAACUCCAGAACUGCCUUUGAUACUGGAGAGCUUGAGUCCGGGAGAGGUGAGUGGAACUCCGAGUGUAGAGGUGAAAUUCGUAGAUAUUCGGAAGAACACCAGUGGCGAAGGCGGCUCACUGGCCCGGUACUGACGCUGAUGUGCGAAAGCGUGGGGAGCAAACAGG
RNAcentral lists this ribosomal RNA (253 nucleotides) under uncultured bacterium. Its description in RNAcentral is "partial 16S ribosomal RNA". It matches the Rfam family "Bacterial small subunit ribosomal RNA", at positions 524 to 776 of the family's 1533-position model. The record is from RNAcentral.